RNAcentral lists this small nuclear RNA (18 nucleotides) under Arabidopsis thaliana (thale cress). Its description in RNAcentral is "snRNA_02589". The record is from RNAcentral. Lineage: Eukaryota; Viridiplantae; Streptophyta; Magnoliopsida; Brassicales; Brassicaceae.
UCAACUAUCCCGUCUUUA